UACGGAGGAUGCAAGCGUUAUCCGGAUUUAUUGGGUUUAAAGGGUGCGUAGGCGGAUUAGUAAGUCAGUGGUGAAAUACUGCAGCUUAACUGUAGCACUGCCAUUGAUACUGCUAGUCUUGAGUACGAUUGAAGUAGGCGGAAUGUGUAAUGUAGCGGUGAAAUGCUUAGAUAUUACACAGAACACCGAUUGCGUAGGCAGCUUACUAAGUCGUAACUGACGCUGAGGCACGAAAGCGUGGGGAUCGAACAGG
This 253-nucleotide ribosomal RNA is filed under the name uncultured bacterium. RNAcentral describes it as "partial 16S ribosomal RNA". It matches the Rfam family "Bacterial small subunit ribosomal RNA", at positions 524 to 776 of the family's 1533-position model. The record is from RNAcentral.